AGGAUCAUUAUUAUAAUGCGUGGAAAUGCCCCUAAUAAGGGNANACNCUAUAAAACUCUAAACUUACUGUCUGAGAAGGCCANGUGCCGUAAUCUUUAAACAUUUUAAAACUUUCAACAACGGAUCUCUUGGUUCUCGCAUCGAUGAAGAACGCAGCGAAAUGCGAUAAGUAAUGUGAAUUGCAGAAUUCAGUGAAUCAUCGAAUCUUUGAACGCACAUUGCACCCUUUGGUAUUCCAUAGGGCAUGCCUGUUCGAGCGUCACUGACAACCCCAUCAUACAAGAGUGUGGUAUUGGCAGAAGUGGGUAGGGCUAGCAGUGCUGGUCCCACUCUGCUGGAAUGAAUAGGCCGGAAAUGCAGACCAUGGCAACAAACUUUCAGAGUAUUUUCAAAUGCUAAAUUAGUUUGGAGCUGGUCAGAAUCCAGGCUAUCGGACCCCCAUUCUGUGUAAAGCAGUAAUGUUGACCUCGGAUCAGGUAGGGAUACCCGCUGAACUUAAGCAUAUCAAUAAGCGGAGGAAAAGAAACCAACAGGGAUUGCCUUAGUAACGGCGAGUGAAGCGGCAAAAGCUCAAAUUUGAAAUCUGACACCUCUGGUGUUCGAGUUGUAAUUUGGAGAGGCAUCUUCUGGAGGGGC
Molecule: ribosomal RNA, 636 nt
Filed under: uncultured Tuberaceae
Lineage: Eukaryota; Fungi; Ascomycota; Pezizomycetes; Pezizales; Tuberaceae
Description: eukaryotic LSU rRNA
Rfam family: 5.8S ribosomal RNA (bases 109-262)
Source: RNAcentral